UACAGUUAUAAGAGCUUCUGACUGUAGGCUACUUGAUUUGGUGCUACAUAUGUAAAAUAUAUUGACAUAACAGAUUAAACGACUGCUUUAAUGGACAUCUGUAUUUCUAACAAUGUAGACCUAAUUCUUUGUUUUAUAGCUUGUUUGGACAAUUACAAUAAAUCAUAGCCUACGCAAAUUUGAUAAAUUAUUAUACGUUUGAUGAGUAAAUAAUACAGGUAAUACUUUAUUUAAAUAUAAUAAAUAUUUACAGCAACAUUCCAUGAAAAUGCUGUCCAUCCAUAAAUGUUUGAGAUAUUGAGAUACACAAUUUCAUUUAUUAGACAAAAGGUGGCAGUAAAUAGCCAUAUAUUGCUGAUUAGUACGGUGACGUUUGGUUUUUAGCCAUUGAGUUUAUUAGAUUAUUUUUGUGUAUUCGACAAUUCGACGUUAAAAUAAUAUUGUGUAUAGGACUAUAUGAAUGUCGUCCCUUUGGAGAGGGAAAAUGUAGUUUUAGGUGCCAGACGCUUCUUUUGUAGUCUAGUCUACAACGUAUUACGUAAAGCUGUCGGUAUGUACCCUGGCCAACCGGUAUAGCUUAAAAACCGGGUUCGCCUCUUAUUAAAAGUGUAGCAAUGUUUUAAAACCUGCAAUGUCUUCUGUAUCAUAAAAUUCAAGUUGGCCCCUAGUAUCAAUGUUCACUCUUUCACCAUGUGCUGCAACUGUUGCAGAAUUAGGUAGCUACACCUUCUUUAUAGUUUUAUUUAUUUUAUUUUUUUUAUCAUUUUAUAUAUUUAUAUAAUAAACAGUAUCUACAAUAUGUUCUAUGGAAGUGCUUUUUUAUUUUUUUCAGUCACAUUUCCUUUGGACCUUACUAAAACCAGACUUCAGAUACAGGGUGAAGGUGGUUCCCGACUGCACAGUGGACAAAAUACAGAAAUACAGGGGCAUGUUGAGCACAGCUAUGGUUAUAGUGCGAGAAGAAGGGCCCUUCAAAAUGUGGCAAGGGGUCACACCAGCUGUCUACAGACAUAUAAGUAUAAUGUUAAUUGCAAUGAGCUUUAUUAACAAAUGGGAGUUAUAUCCAUGCAUGGAAUGAUAAUUGCCUGAAUUAAUACAUUUAUUUGAAUCCCCUUCUGACCUUUGGAAUUCUUCGUUUUUAGUGUAUUCAGGCAGCAGGAUUUCUUCUUAUGAACAGCUCAUAGAAUCAGUGUUGGGAAGAUCUGAAGAUGGCAUUUUUCCAGUCUGUUGAGGGAAAGAUCUGAAAUAUGAAACAGAACAUUGAUUGAAGUCUAAAUAGAUGGAAUCAGCAUGUGUUCUGUGAUGUGUAGGAAAGCAGUGAUCAGCAGCAUGAUAUCAGGUGCCUUAGGCCAGUUCAUCGCUAGUCCAACAGAUCUAGUGAAGGUUCAGAUGCAAAUGGAGGGCCGGCGCGGUCUUGAAGGGAAGCCGCCCAAGGCCAUCCAAGAUGUAGAUGAGUUUGUUUCUUCAUCGGAACAGAUUUGGAGAACUUCAGCAUUACAUCACUUGCUCACCACAGGAUCCUCUGCAGUGAAUGGGGGCCGUCAGAAUGAAGUACAUGGAGUUUACAAUGAUUUUAUUGAAGAUCAUGGCAGAGGGAGGAAUACGAGGCCUUUAGGCUGGAUGGGUUCCCAGUGUUCAGAGAGGUGCAUUGAUCAAUUUAGGAGGUACAGUAGUCAAAACUUCUUGAGAUCUAUUUGCAGCUGCAGUUUUGCAUAUACAUCAAAUAUUUUUUUCAAAAAUAAAACGUUAUAGCAAUCAUUCAAGCCUUUUUAUAAAAAAAAAAUAUACCAUUGUUGUCUCCCUCUCUUUUUUAUAUACUUUUAAGCAAUAAUUGAGUGUUUAAACUGGUCUCCCAAUCUGAUUAUUUUAUAUUAUUGCAGU
Carassius gibelio (silver crucian carp) is the source of this 1881-nucleotide long non-coding RNA. RefSeq lists it as uncharacterized. The record is from RefSeq and is a predicted model, not a curated record. The transcript has 3 exons. NCBI's taxonomy places the organism in Eukaryota, Metazoa, Chordata, Actinopteri, Cypriniformes, Cyprinidae.